RNAcentral lists this microRNA (19 nucleotides) under Bos taurus (domestic cattle). Its description in RNAcentral is "bta-miR-12034". The record is from miRBase by way of RNAcentral. Lineage: Eukaryota; Metazoa; Chordata; Mammalia; Artiodactyla; Bovidae.
CCCCGGGGAGCCCGGCGGU